UACGUAGGGGGCAAGCGUUGUCCGGAUUUAUUGGGCGUAAAGAGUGUGUAGGCGGCCAGGUAGGUCCGUUGUGAAAACUCGAGGCUCAACCUCGAGACGUCGGCGGAAACCCUCUGGCUAGAGUCCGGAAGAGGAGAGUGGAAUUCCUGGUGUAGCGGUGAAAUGCGCAGAUAUCAGGAAGAACACCCGUGGCGAAGGCGGCUCUCUGGGACGGUACUGACGCUGAGACGCGAAAGCGUGGGGAGCGAACAGG
RNAcentral lists this ribosomal RNA (253 nucleotides) under uncultured bacterium. Its description in RNAcentral is "partial 16S ribosomal RNA". It matches the Rfam family "Bacterial small subunit ribosomal RNA", at positions 524 to 776 of the family's 1533-position model. The record is from RNAcentral.